This 100-nucleotide microRNA precursor is filed under the name Chlorocebus sabaeus (green monkey). RNAcentral describes it as "miRNA (ENSCSAG00000022262.1)". The record is from RNAcentral. Lineage: Eukaryota; Metazoa; Chordata; Mammalia; Primates; Cercopithecidae.
GAGGUGGGAGGAUUGCUUGAACCUGGGAGGUUGAGGCUGCAGUAAGCUGUGGUCAUACCACUGCACUCCAGCCUGGGUAACAGAGAAAGAUCCUGUCUCA